Molecule: long non-coding RNA, 414 nt
Filed under: Ananas comosus (pineapple)
Lineage: Eukaryota; Viridiplantae; Streptophyta; Magnoliopsida; Poales; Bromeliaceae
Description: long non-coding RNA (ACOM_LNC000523)
Source: RNAcentral
UUUACAAUUAAAAUUAAAAUUUAAAAUUUAAUUUUGAAAAUUAAAAAUUAAUUUUAAAUCUAACUGGAAUUUAAAAUUUGAAUUCAAAUUCACAUUUUUGUAUUUGAAAUAUAAAAUACAAAUAAAUUUGAAUUUGAAUUUGUGUCACGCCCCGGAUUACACGUUUUCCGGGCAUGCCGACAAAUCCGCCAUAUUCAUGUAUACGAAGCGUAGCUGUACAUGUAAAACAUACAAUACUACUACCAGUAGUAUAGAGCUGCUAGGAAACAAAACAUAACCAGAUAGAAAAGAACAGUUCACCAUACAUACAACAUCCAGUAUACAAAAACUCGCCCAGCGAGAUACAGUAUCAACAGUAUGUAUAUGAACUCAAAAACUGCAACUACUUGUAGCUGGUGCUCCGCUAACUCGACG